CCUACGGGGUGCAGCAGUGGGGAAUAUUGGACAAUGGGCGAAGGCCUGAUCCAGCCAUGCCGCGUGUGUGAAGAAGGCCUUCGGGUUGUAAAGCACUUUCAGUGGGGAAGAAAGCCUUGGGGCUAAUACCCUCGAGGAAGGACAUCACCCACAGAAGAAGCACCGGCUAACUCCGUGCCAGCAGCCGCGGUAAUACGGAGGGUGCGAGCGUUAAUCGGAAUUACUGGGCGUAAAGCGCGCGUAGGCGGUCUGAUAAGCCGGUUGUGAAAGCCCCGGGCUCAACCUGGGAACGGCAUCCGGAACUGUCAGGCUAGAGUGCAGGAGAGGAAGGUAGAAUUCCCGGUGUAGCGGUGAAAUGCGUAGAGAUCGGGAGGAAUACCAGUGGCGAAGGCGGCCUUCUGGACUGACACUGACGCUGAGGUGCGAAAGCGUGGGUAGCAAACAGGAUUAGAUACCCCUGUAGU
Molecule: ribosomal RNA, 464 nt
Filed under: Vreelandella stevensii
Lineage: Bacteria; Pseudomonadati; Pseudomonadota; Gammaproteobacteria; Oceanospirillales; Halomonadaceae
Description: partial 16S ribosomal RNA
Rfam family: Bacterial small subunit ribosomal RNA
Source: RNAcentral